AGCCUCGGCUUUCAGAUGCUCUUUGCUCUGCUUCCCAUCUCAUUUUAAAAGCUUUUCUUAUUUUGGGGUUUUAUUGCUUCAUCUCUCACAUUCACUUUCCUGAACCUCACACCUCUCUCUGUUUCUCUCUUCCCUCAUAUGUUGCAGCUUUGGCUUCCAUCUCGCCCUCUGGAUCUCUGCCGUCAAACGCUAGCUGUGUCAAAGUCUUACCAUCUCCACCUUCGAAGGUGAUUUCUGGUGAGCCAUUGAAAUAAAGUUGUUUAAAGCAAAUUGGACAGACUGUAAAAGUGUACUUGUCAUGUCUGAUCGGGUUGCACGAUCAUGUCAUGCUGGUGAAGGAACAAGUGAGCGAGCUUCAUGUCCUUGUGAAUCUGUUUGGAUGGGUCAUCGGAUGUGCACAAGUUGUAAGUCAGAAACCAAGGCAUGUGGUCAUGUAUCAAUUCAUUAUGAGGAUGCCCAACAAAAUAUUCAGGAUUUUAAGAAGCAUGCCUUGUUUAGAGGGUUUGGAGAAGUAACUGAACCCAAAAGAGUAAGAAAAAUCAAUGAGGGUUGUAGUCUGACCGAGAGUUCAAAGGAAACAAGGAAAGAGAGAUGGGAAGGCCAGUCCUUUCCAAUGUUCAGUCUUCCUCCAAAGACUGGUUUGGCUAAACAGAACCAGCAAAAUUCUACUGUCCAUUCUGGUGUACUUAGCGAGAGUAACUCACCUGCAAUGCCUGCCUGGACUCUGCAAGCCACCCCACCGCUUCCGGGGCGGCAGGUGAAAUAUCAUAAUUUUCUUGAGAACAAUAGCCUAGCUGUUUCUGAGCCAUUUCCAGAUGAAUUAAUGAGAUCAGAUUCUGAAAUUGUGCCACAUCAAUUUAAGGGUGGGAGCACUUCUUUGCCUUCUUUCAUGUGUAGAGAGGAGGAAAUUAAUCAUUCGAACUCUCUUCCAGCACCUCGACAAAAUGUCAGAAAUACUAAAAAUCACUCAAGUUCCACAUUGUUGGCUCAUGAGAAGAAUAUCAAUGCCAAUUUCAUCUCUAGAAGAUCAGAAGGUUCAUUGUCGAGGCAGAAUGAUGCGGUUUUGUUACAACAUGACCCCACCACAAGCAGUAAACGGAAACCAGAUUUUGUUGGUAAGAAUUUCUGGGAAAUGCAAAAUCAGUCUGGUUUUGGUUUGCUUCCAAGCAGCAGCAGUCCCCCAGAGGUGACCAAAUUGGAAAAUGUAUAUCAAGGAUACUGUUCUCUGCCAAGCCUUCAGCGUUCUGUGCAUAACAUGGAUACUAUGAGAAUAUGUGCUACUGUCAACGUUGGGGAAGAAUUAUCUGGAGGUCCUCCCAAGUUUUCAAACACAAUUCACCAUUUUCUGUUCUCAAAAAACACCGGUGUUAACUUGUCUGAAGGAGCUCAAGUGUUUGGACAGUCAACUGUAUCAAAAAAAUUGAAAGGAAAAGCUUCCAGUGAGCUCCAUAGUUUUUCUCCAGAGGUUCUCCCUGUUCAGCCUGGAUUCAAGCUGCUACCUUACAGGAGCUCUACAGACAGUGAAGGAGAGGAAGAUGUACGAGAUGUCAAGGCUCCUGCGGUCGAAUCAUCUUCUGAAACAGAUAUUAUGGGCAUGGAUGCUUUCCAGGAUAACAUUCUUCCUUGUGUGGUGGCGUCAUCUCCAUCAGAUAAGCAUGUUGAGAGGGGCGAGAAGUCACCUACAUCUCGAUCAACCUUCCCUUCAGGCAGAGAAGAGAUUGGAGCUAGACUUACUUCCACAAAAUUAUUUGACAUAAAUCAGGUUGCACCUUUUGCAAGUUCAGCAGAAGAAAGGGAGACAAGCACUUCAAAAACCCAGAGUUUGGAUGUGGAACAUCUCCUUGCCCAUGCUGAGCAGCCAACAAAUUCAAAAUCCAGUGCAAGUCCAGAAGGACCUCAGGGACCAGAGCCAGGCAGCAGGUGGGUUAAACGUCUCAAGUUGAGUGCUUCUCAGUCUGCUCAUGGUACAAAAAGCUCAAAAUUGGGAGAAGCCUCUUCACAUGAAAAAGUAAACAAAUUUUCUAACAGGAUUACAAAAUGCGGUAUAACUAGUUCACAACCUGCUAUGGGCAGAUUUCUUGGUAAAGAACAGAUGGCAUCAGAUCAAACUGCAACUUUAUUAAGAAAUGGUGAGUCUUCUUCCAUUGACUUGGUGGCGAAAAUUCAAAAUAUAACACUCUCACAUCCUUGGAUUCAGAGGUGGUCUAAUAAAAUAGCAUCCCAAAAGAAGUCUGAAGCAGUGGUUGUUUCUAAAUCGCAACGUUUGAAAGCAACAGUAGAUGAAAUUCAAAAGAAGCAGUUUCCAAGCAUUGCUGCUAUGGCACUCAUGGGAAAGGCCAUGAGUGGUUUCCAUCCAUGUGAGUUUGCAAACAAGGGGUCAUUUGUGGUUUGGAAUACCAAAGGAUUUUAAAUAAAUGUCAUGCAACUCUGGAAAGAAGAGUCGGGUAUACAAAGCAUGGGACGAUGGCAUUGGCUUGACGAAGAUAAAGAAUGCGUUGUCCAUCUAUGAGAAUCCAUGACGAGGGCUGAUUGUGGAGUUAUAUAUUAUGAAUGUUGCAUCGUGGUCGGAGGAAUCAUAAAGGUGAAUUACUCUGAUGGCCACCCAUUAGGCUCCGGAGCUGCUGAUUCAGCUGAUGAUGCAAGGGAGGUCUUCCUAGAAAAGAUUAAGGACAAAUGAUGCAGUGGAUCGCUUCCAUCGUUCAACUCAAGCCGCGAUAUCACGUCUUGAUACACCACAACAUCCAUAGACUAAGAAGGAGAAACUGUUGACGAUCUUCUGCUUCGAAUUAGUAAAAAAAAUUAUGCGAGCAAGUUUUACAAUUCCUGCGCCUUCUGAUUGGCUGUCUAUAUGCUUUUAUGCUGUUCUGGUAUUUGGUUGCCCUCCCCAAGUCUUGCUUUUUGAUUCUUGCUUUAAGGUUCUGUAACAUAUGCUGUAAAUUUUCCUCCAUCUUCUUUGGAGAAUAGGUUGGUUGUUUAAGAGAUCAACGAAUUUCGAGUUUUGUAAGGCAUGAUGGAGACAAGUUUUGUUGAUCCAUUUGAUCAGAUGUAGACAACAAACAAAGACAUGCCAUCCAAACAUUUUUCAAA
This is an RNA transcript of Prunus avium (sweet cherry), 3087 nucleotides long. RefSeq lists it as uncharacterized. The record is from RefSeq and is a predicted model, not a curated record. Lineage: Eukaryota; Viridiplantae; Streptophyta; Magnoliopsida; Rosales; Rosaceae.